RNAcentral lists this ribosomal RNA (1566 nucleotides) under Triticum aestivum (bread wheat). RNAcentral's name for it is "partial small subunit ribosomal RNA". Lineage: Eukaryota; Viridiplantae; Streptophyta; Magnoliopsida; Poales; Poaceae. The record is from RNAcentral.
AUGGAGAUAGAUCUGAACCGGGACGCCCGCGACGGCGACGCGGAGAGGGUCGCCGCCCCGCAGAGUAACCGCGCCGUCCGAGUGGAGGUCGUCGCCCAGGAGGGCAACGGCGAUGGUGGCAUGGUGGCCGCUGCGGAGGGCGUCGGCGCUGCCCCGGAGACGGUCGGCGUCGGCGCCGAGGAGGGCGUCGCCCCGGAGAAGAACGGCGUCGGCUCCGGUGGCGAGAAGGGGGUCGCCUCGGAGGGGAGCGGCGCCGGCGCCGAGGUGGGCGCUGCCGUGGAGACGAACGGCGUCGCAGGUGACGUCUGGAUCUGCCACCAGUGCCGUCAGAGAAAAACAGGGCUCACGGCAGCUUGCAGAGGAUCCAAGAAGAAUGGCAAAUGCACUCUCAGAUACUGCAAGAAUUGCAUACGUAACAGGUACCCUUUGAUUGCGGAUGAGGUGUUGAAGGAGGAAGCCUGGGAAUGCCCCAAGUGCAGGAAUGACUGCAACUGCAGCAAGUGCAAAAAGAGGAGAGGGGAGGAGCCGGCAGGGCCAAUGGUCCAUUCUGUCAAGAGACCGAAGGGCAAGUGCAAAAAGAGGAGAGGGGAGGAGCCGGCAGGGCCAACGGUCCAUUCUGUCAAGAGACCGAAGGGCAACCUGCGGAGAAUUGAGAGCACCGAUGCUCUCAAGGAUGAAAUAGUCAUACCCAAGGGAACACUUGUGACUUGCGUUGCUGGUGUAGAGAUGCAGCCUGAAGAUGUUGGUGCUGCCAUUCAAUUUUUGGAGUUUUGUCGCUCAUUUGGCGAGAUCUUCCAAAUAAGGAAGGGCCAAUCAGAAAAAAUUGUCAAAGACAUAACUGGAGAUCGUCAACUCCGAGAGGUGUCUUCAGUUGUUGCUGAGCUUCACGCAAACCUGUUGUCUGUCAUGGAAAAUGGCAAUUACAAGCCUUUGAAAUAUCCAAAACAUGGCGAUACAUGGAUAAGAAAACUCAGCAAAUAUAUCACUGACUCGACAUUACACGCAAAAGAUUUCAUCCUUGACUGCUUAAGCCAUGGGCUAUCUGGAUAUAAAAAUUUGAGCCCUUCUCAUAAGCUGGAUGUGCUGAAUUCUCUGUGUGACGAGGCAUUAUCAUCUGAAAAGUUGAGGACUAGGAUUGAAGCUAGAGAGGGUGUGGCCAGACAAAAGAUCCGUGCUGCAACCGAGAAGGAAAAGGAGCUAAAAGAAAGACAGAAUGACAUGGCUAAAACAAUGGGAGGAGAAAUCGCUGGCAAUGAAGAAGCUAAUAAUAUCUUUUGUCAAAUAAAAGAGGCAAAAGAAGUCAAGCAGGCAGCCAUGAAUGAAUUAGAGGAACGGGGAUGUGUCCUCAGGUCCACGCCUGUCAUGGUAGACAAAGGAGUAGCAUACUGGAAGCUGGAUGGCUAUUGUGAUAACAAUACAAACAUAUUGCGCCAAGAAUUUGACAAAGAAGCUACAAUGAAGAACCAAGACAAGUGGUUCAUGUUCAGUGAAGAUGAACAGAAAGUAGUUGAAAAUCAUGUAACUACAAGGUCCCAGCGCCCAUGGAGAAAGGAUAACCGGGUGUAA